This 774-nucleotide ribosomal RNA is filed under the name uncultured bacterium. RNAcentral describes it as "bacterial SSU rRNA". It matches the Rfam family "Bacterial small subunit ribosomal RNA", at positions 1 to 760 of the family's 1533-position model. The record is from RNAcentral.
UAGAGUUUGAUCAUGGCUCAGAUUGAACGCUGGCGGCAGGCCUAACACAUGCAAGUCGAGCGGAAACGAGUUAUCUGAACCUUCGGGGGACGAUAACGGCGUCGAGCGGCGGACGGGUGAGUAAUGCCUAGGAAAUUGCCCUGAUGUGGGGGAUAACCAUUGGAAACGAUGGCUAAUACCGCAUGAUGCCUACGGGCCAAAGAGGGGGACCUUCGGGCCUCUCGCGUCAGGAUAUGCCUAGGUGGGAUUAGCUAGUUGGUGAGGUAACGGCUCACCAAGGCGACGAUCCCUAGCUGGUCUGAGAGGAUGAUCAGCCACACUGGAACUGAGACACGGUCCAGACUCCUACGGGAGGCAGCAGUGGGGAAUAUUGCACAAUGGGCGCAAGCCUGAUGCAGCCAUGCCGCGUGUAUGAAGAAGGCCUUCGGGUUGUAAAGUACUUUCAGCAGUGAGGAAGGGGGUGUCGUUAAUAGCGGCAUUUCUUGACGUUAGCUGCAGAAGAAGCACCGGCUAACUCCGUGCCAGCAGCCGCGGUAAUACGGAGGGUGCGAGCGUUAAUCGGAAUUACUGGGCGUAAAGCGCAUGCAGGUGGUUUGUUAAGUCAGAUGUGAAAGCCCGGGGCUCAACCUCGGAACUGCAUUUGAAACUGGCAAACUAGAGUACUGUAGAGGGGGGUAGAAUUUCAGGUGUAGCGGUGAAAUGCGUAGAGAUCUGAAGGAAUACCAGUGGCGAAGGCGGCCCCCUGGACAGAUACUGACACUCAGAUGCGAAAGC